Molecule: ribosomal RNA, 339 nt
Filed under: uncultured Streptococcus sp.
Lineage: Bacteria; Bacillati; Bacillota; Bacilli; Lactobacillales; Streptococcaceae
Description: bacterial SSU rRNA
Rfam family: Bacterial small subunit ribosomal RNA
Source: RNAcentral
UGCAUGGUUGUCGUCAGCUCGUGUCGUGAGAUGUUGGGUUAAGUCCCGCAACGAGCGCAACCCCUAUUGUUAGUUGCCAUCAUUCAGUUGGGCACUCUAGCGAGACUGCCGGUAAUAAACCGGAGGAAGGUGGGGAUGACGUCAAAUCAUCAUGCCCCUUAUGACCUGGGCUACACACGUGCUACAAUGGUUGGUACAACGAGCUGCGAGUCGGUGACGGCGAGCUAAUCUCUUAAAGCCAAUCUCAGUUCGGAUUGUAGGCUGCAACUCGCCUACAUGAAGUCGGAAUCGCUAGUAAUCGCGGAUCAGCACGCCGCGGUGAAUACGUUCCCGGGCCUU